GAUGAACGCUAGCGGCAGGCCUAACACAUGCAAGUCGAGGGGGAGGUUACUUUCGGGUAACUGAGACCGGCGUACGGGUGCGUAACGCGUAUACAAUCUGCCUUUCACUGGGGGAUAGCCCGAAGAAAUUUGGCUUAAUACCCCAUAGUAUAGUAAUACGGCAUCGUGAUGCUAUUAAAGCUUAGGUGGUGAAAGAUGAGUAUGCGUUCUAUUAGCUAGUUGGAGAGGUAACGGCUCCCCAAGGCGAUGAUAGAUAGGGGUUCUGAGAGGGAUGUCCCCCACACUGGUACUGAGAUACGGACCAGACUCCUACGGGAGGCAGCAGUGAGGAAUAUUGGACAAUGGUCGGAAGACUGAUCCAGCCAUGCCGCGUGCAGGAUGAAGGUCUUAUGGAUUGUAAACUGCUUUUGUAAGGGAAGAAUAAGGGCUACGCGUAGUUUGAUGACGGUACCUUACGAAUAAGCAUCGGCUAACUCCGUG
RNAcentral lists this ribosomal RNA (480 nucleotides) under uncultured bacterium. RNAcentral describes it as "partial 16S ribosomal RNA". It matches the Rfam family "Bacterial small subunit ribosomal RNA", at positions 28 to 507 of the family's 1533-position model. The record is from RNAcentral.